CUACGGGUGGCAGCAGUGAGGAAUAUUGCACAAUGGGGGGAACCCUGAUGCAGCAACGCCGCGUGGAGGAUGACGCAUUUCGGUGUGUAAACUCCUUUUAUAUGUCAAGAAAAUGACGGUAGCAUAUGAAUAAGCACCGGCUAACUCCGUGCCAGCAGCCGCGGUAAUAGGGAGGGUGCAAGCGUUACUCGGAAUCACUGGGCGUAAAGGACGCGUAGGCGGGUUGGAAAGUCAGGUGUGAAAUCCUACAGCUUAACUGUAGAACUGCACUUGAAACUUCUAAUCUAGAGUAUGGGAGGGGGAGAUGGAAUUAGUGGUGUAGGGGUAAAAUCCGUAGAUAUCACUAGGAAUACCUAAAGCGAAGGCGAUCUCCUGGAACAUUACUGACGCUAAGGCGUGAAAGCGUGGGGAGCAAACAGGAUUAGAUACCCUCUGUAGUC
This 440-nucleotide ribosomal RNA is filed under the name uncultured bacterium. RNAcentral's name for it is "partial 16S ribosomal RNA". It matches the Rfam family "Bacterial small subunit ribosomal RNA", at positions 339 to 795 of the family's 1533-position model. The record is from RNAcentral.